GAAUUGAAGAAGAUAAAGGAACUGGCCACAGUGGCAGGAAGCUGUUUAAAACUGAAGUUGAUGGACUUCCUUCUACAUUGGCCUUGGGAAGAAAACUCUUGAGGUGUUUUGUGACCUAACCUGACUCUCUUGGGUCUGCUGCCCCUAGUUCCAGUUCUGGAGGAGGAGGAGAAAGGAGGAAGAUGGGCAUAAUUUUCCAAAUCAGCAAGCAGGAUCUGAGGAAGUGCUGCCAUGUUCUGGACUUUAAGUGGAUUAAUACCAUACCAUGGAUAAAACAAGAACAUUGGAAAAACAAGACCUCACCAUUCACAGAAAAAAAUCCUAAUUCAACAAGCAAUAUGUGA
RNAcentral lists this long non-coding RNA (344 nucleotides) under Monodelphis domestica (gray short-tailed opossum). RNAcentral's name for it is "lncRNA (ENSMODG00000046841.1)". The record is from RNAcentral. Lineage: Eukaryota; Metazoa; Chordata; Mammalia; Didelphimorphia; Didelphidae.